Molecule: long non-coding RNA, 151 nt
Organism: Oncorhynchus keta (chum salmon)
Lineage: Eukaryota; Metazoa; Chordata; Actinopteri; Salmoniformes; Salmonidae
Exons: 3
Source: RefSeq, a predicted model, not a curated record
CUGUUAUUGGUAAUGGUGAGAGGUUAGCAUGUUUUGUUGUAGCCUCUGUUAUUGGUAAUGGUGAGGUUAGUAUGUUUUGUUGUAGUCUCUGUUAUUGGUAAUGGUGAGAGGUUAGCAUGUUUUGUUGUAGCCUCUGUUAUUGGUAAUGGUG